AGCAGAAGCCAUCAUUAGCGC
This 21-nucleotide microRNA is filed under the name Populus tomentosa. RNAcentral describes it as "Pto-miR6439b". The record is from RNAcentral. Lineage: Eukaryota; Viridiplantae; Streptophyta; Magnoliopsida; Malpighiales; Salicaceae.